Molecule: ribosomal RNA, 548 nt
Filed under: uncultured Glomeromycotina
Lineage: Eukaryota; Fungi; Glomeromycota
Description: SSU rRNA
Rfam family: Eukaryotic small subunit ribosomal RNA
Source: RNAcentral
UUGGAGGGCAAGUCUGGUGCCAGCAGCCGCGGUAAUUCCAGCUCCAAUAGCGUAUAUUAAAGUUGUUGCAGUUAAAAAGCUCGUAGUUGAAUUUCGGGGUCAGUAGGUUGGUCAUGCCACUGGUAUGUACUGGUCUCACUGAUUCCUCCUUCCUGAUGAACUGUAAUGCCAUUAAUUUGGUGUUGCAGGGAAUCUGGACUGUUACUUUGAAAAAAUUAGAGUGUUUAAAGCAGGCUAACGCCUGAAUACAUUAGCAUGGAAUAAUGAAAUAGGACGUUCGAUCCUAUUUUGUUGGUUUCUAGGAUUGACGUAAUGAUUAAUAGGGAUAGUUGGGGGCAUUAGUAUUCAAUUGUCAGAGGUGAAAUUCUUGGAUUUAUUGAAGACUAACUACUGCGAAAGCAUUUGCCAAGGAUGUUUUCAUUAAUCAAGAACGAAAGUUAGGGGAUCGAAGACGAUCAGAUACCGUCGUAGUCUUAACCAUAAACUAUGCCGACUAGGGAUCGGAUGAUGUUAAUUUUUUAAUGACUCAUUCGGCGCCUUACGGGAAA